Molecule: ribosomal RNA, 444 nt
Filed under: uncultured bacterium
Lineage: Bacteria
Description: partial 16S ribosomal RNA
Rfam family: Bacterial small subunit ribosomal RNA
Source: RNAcentral
CCUACGGGAGGCAGCAGUGGGGAAUAUUGGGCAAUGGAGGAAACUCUGACCCAGCAAUGCCGCGUGAAUGAAGAAGGUCUUCGGAUUGUAAAGUUCUUUAGUCAGGGAAGAAUAAAAUGACGGUACCUGAAGAAUAAGCUCCGGCUAACUACGUGCCAGCAGCCGCGGUAAUACGUAGGGAGCAAGCGUUGUUCGGAAUGACUGGGCGUAAAGGGUGCGUAGGCGGUUAUACAAGUUAGAAGUGAAAUACCCAGGGCUUAACUCGGGUGCUGCUUCUAAAACUGUAAGACUUGAGUGCAGUAGAGGUUAGUGGAAUUCCUAGUGUAGCGGUGAAAUGCUUAGAGAUCAUACAGAACACCGAUUGCGAAGGCAGCUUACCAAGCUACUUCUGACGUUGAGGCACGAAAGCGUGGGGAGCAAACAGGAUUAGAUACCCGUGUAGUC